AUUUUCAGCCUGAAAGACUGAGGAAGCAGAAUAAGGAGAGAGUUUGGAAGAUGCAGAUGUCCUGGUUCCAGAAGGGAAAGGAAAGGAGUCUGGGAGUGAUGAGAAAAGUUGCAUUUAUUGAGCACUUACAAUUUAUUGGACUAAGCUGGUUACAUGCACCAUCGCCUUAAAUCCACACAAAAAAUUUAGGAUUUAUUAUCCCCAUUUCAUAGCUAAGAAACUGAUGCUCAGAGAGGUUAAGUGACUUGUUCAAGGCAGUCCAGACAGUCCAGCUCCAGAAGCCAAGCUCCACAGACUCCAGCGAGGUCUCUCCUUAGUUGGGGUUGGGAAGGGGGAGGGGCUCAGGGGAGUCAUGCCAGGCAGUGUCUGUCCCCUUCCCUCCUACUCCCAGAAGAUGAGGCUGCUUUCAGUAUAAUCCCCUCUCCCUGCUCUCCCUGCCCCUGGUUCAGCCCCAGCCAGAACUCCUAAAUACUUCACCUGUUUAUUAUUCAAAUAUUGCUGGCCAGAGAUUGGGAGACCCUGAGGAAAGGUGAAGAGGAAGGUGAGGAGAUAACAAGGGAGAGCCAGAGAGAGUAAGAGGUAGAGCAAGAGACAGAGAGAGACACAGGGGCCAAGCAGAAAGCAGGGGCGUUUGAGGGAGCACUGGUGACAGAAGGCCAGGAUGUACAGUGACCCACAACCUGGACAGUUAGAGCUCAGCCCAUCCACUGGCCGGUGAUGGAAUGGAUGGAAGGUGAUAGAAGGAACUCCUACUCCCCACCCCCAGCUCUGUCUCCACCCACCCUUCCACCUUCACACCCGAGCUUCUCCUUCCCCUCCCCCACCAUCUUCUCAGGAACAAUUCUAAUUAGACUAAGUGACUAAGAGGAGGUUUCAGCCUGAGCAGCCAAUUAGGCCUGGAAGAAGGGAAGGGAGCCCCCCCCACCAAGUCUCCCACCCCCACCCAACCCCCUCAUCUGUCUUUUACCUGGACCAAGUAUUCUUAGCCCAGGACUCCAGACUGUCAUUCAAGUUUCCCUGAUACUCCUCCUCCCUCACUGCCCACUGUGCCCCAUUACCUGUUUCCAGACAGCCCCCAGCCCACUGCUUAGUCCCCGUCUUGAGCCCCUCCAUCCUCAGGCCUUGAGUCCAUUCAAGAGUCUCUGGUGGGGGGGGGGGGUGGUGCAAGGAAAGAGUGGGGUCCUCCUUGGGAGGCUGUCUUUCUGAGUCUCUUUAUUUCUGAUGUUUCUCCUCUGUCUCUCCCUCUCUCUCUUCUCUUCCUCUGGCACUUAUUUCUAACAUCCGUGGACCAGGCCUACUGGUUGCCAUGGAGACGCAGUGUGCAGCUGGAUGGGCCUUGGCAGCUGCCCUUUCCUUCGCCUGGAAUGCUCUGUUCUGAGCUCUACAUCUCCAGGUUUCCUCAGAUAAGCUACUCAGGCCACAUUCCAAGAGACAGUAGGGAUCAUGCCUGUCUAAUUCAGUGCUGUAAUGCCAGCACCUGGCACCGGGCCUACCACAUAGUAGGUGCUAAAUAUGUGUUCAGUAAAAGAAUGGACAAAUUCUUUCACUGAAGUGCCACAAGAAUCCUCGGUGAUGGUGAGCAUUAUUAUUCCCAUUUUACAGAUGAAGAAAUGAAGGCUCAGUCACCUGCCCAAGGUCAUACCACUAAGAAGCAGUACAGCCAGAUUUCUAAUGUAAGUCUCUGACUCCAGAUGUGAGGGAAGGAGGUAGGGACCAUCUUUCCUAACCUUCAAUGCACCUGGCUCCUGUUCCUGUUUGUCUGUGGGUGUCUCUACUCCCAUCCCAGGCAUCCCCACAGAAACCUGUGCAGAAAAGCGAGAAGGACAGUUAAAACCUGUAAAGAAUGUGAAUUUGGGGCACCCGGGUGACUCAGUUGGUUAAGCGUCUGACUUCGGCUCAGGUCAUGAUCUCAUGGCUCGUGGGUUCGAGCCCCAGACACACUUUGUGCUGACACCUCAGAGCCUGGAGUCUGCUUUGGAUUGUGUGUCUCCCUCUCUCUGCCCUUGCCCUGCUCUCUCUCAAAAAUAAACAAACAAACAAACAAACAAAACAAAAGAAUGUGAAUCUGACCUUUUUUUCCAGGAUCUCUCAAUGGCUCCUCUUUCCCUCCUUAAGUUGACCAGCAGGGCCUUCUAAUUCUGCACCACCACCAUCCCCCUUCCUUUUCAACUUUACCUGCCCUCCUCAGUUACCUUCCCCUCCUCCUA
This is a long non-coding RNA of Acinonyx jubatus (cheetah), 2207 nucleotides long. RefSeq lists it as uncharacterized. The record is from RefSeq and is a predicted model, not a curated record. The transcript is spliced from 3 exons. Lineage: Eukaryota; Metazoa; Chordata; Mammalia; Carnivora; Felidae.